AGAAAUCAGAAACUCAAGGGUCGCUACGGAGCCUCUAGUAUGAAGGAAUUUGGAGUUCCUGUAAGCAGAGUCUUGCUACAUGUGGCCUUCUCCUCCUACUUUUCUCAGCAUGAAAAGAUGCUGCACUUAUGCAAAAGGUCACACACAAAGGUCGUCCAGGCAGAGGAAAGUCUGGCUAGACAUUAUGUGCUGAAAGGACUUAUAUAACCGCCGGGGGAUUAAAUUGGCUGUGGCUAUUUCCAUGACUCCAGACGUGUGAAGAGAAGCUGAGGAGACACCAGUUACUUACCUAGACAUUUACAAACACCUACGUGCCUGGUACUAUGUUCAAUCUUUAUUCAAAUACUUUUUAUUAAAACACUGGGCUUCUGCAGCACCUCUAGUGGUCUUUUAGUCUUCUGUGCUCAAAAAUCGAGUCAAUUACCAAGCACUAUUCGUUCCAUUUUUCAUGCUGAAGCAUCUCACACAGGCCCCUAACUUUAACUCCUCGUGAUCACCAGGUAACACUCGUGAGCAGUAAUUACUGCAAAGGCGCUCCCAUGCAUUGUCGCUAGUCCACAUGACCACCCUGCAAACGAUGAUCUUUAUCCUCAUUCUACACGGUAGACGAAUGAGAACCACAAAGCCUCAGUAAGAAAAUGACGACGCUCCUAGACAAGACAUGUUUGUGGGAUGCAAGGCCCCGUUUUCUGACUGCUGCACUAAGCUACCUUUCUCCAUUACACCUGGCCUAAAUCCCUUUUGGCUGGCAUUGGAUUAAUUCAACAACUUCGCAAGUGGGUCUCCCUGCCUCAGGUCUCACCAUUGGUCAACCCACUAUAAUACUUUUAAUCCUUUGAUAAAUCCCUGGUAAUAACUUGCAGUGAUCCCUCAGAUGCAGAAGCAAGGGCUUCGCAGACAGUGUGUUCAGUGCAGUGAGCCAGAAAGAUGAAAAAAAAUCUCUAUUGUAAAAUUCACAGAAUCAGACUGCAUGCUACCCAGUCACUAAGCUUCAGGGAGACAUUCUUUAUGAUCGAAUAUGCAGCCAAUAUUUGCAAUGUUCCAUGUACACUUUAGAAGUACACAGUUGUCUCUCAGUAUCCACAGGGGCAUUGGCUUCAGGACUCCCCUUGUAUACCCAAAUCCCUGGUUAUUCAAGUCCCUCAUACCACUAUAAAAUAGCCUACUUUGCAUAUAACGUACACACAUAAUUUAAAUUAAAUUUUCU
RNAcentral lists this long non-coding RNA (1207 nucleotides) under Oryctolagus cuniculus (rabbit). RNAcentral's name for it is "lncRNA (ENSOCUG00000030798.1)". Lineage: Eukaryota; Metazoa; Chordata; Mammalia; Lagomorpha; Leporidae. The record is from RNAcentral.